This 2086-nucleotide long non-coding RNA is filed under the name Salmo salar (Atlantic salmon). Its description in RNAcentral is "lncRNA (ENSSSAG00000104171.1)". The record is from RNAcentral. Lineage: Eukaryota; Metazoa; Chordata; Actinopteri; Salmoniformes; Salmonidae.
CAUUUUAAGAACCCUAUGUGCAUUACAUUCAUGGCUUCAGUAAACAAUGUAAUUGCAGGUCUAUGUAACAAGCAGGAAUGUUGACGGUUGGUAUAAUAUAAUCAAUGUAAGCCUACAAUACAUGCAUGGAUGACCCUAAUGGAUGACUGAGACAACAUUAUACCAAAGUAACUAACCAUCAUCCUGUUUAAAAUUAUCAUAGACGAGCAAGCAAUUCCACCACCUGCAAACCUACAGUUCCACCACCUGCAAAAUCCCAAAUAAUUGAAUUAGGUAUUUACAUUUGACUAUAGUAGUAUAGAUAGUCCAUUCAUUUUGUUCUCUCUUCGAAGCCCUGUGGUUACAGAGCUACUCUGUGUCCCUCUCACCAUACACACUUCUGGGUAAAACCAUGCAUCAGGCCUGCAGCUGCAGAGCUGGAGGUCAUGUGGUCCAUGGCCACACAAUUGAAUCCUCUGAAGGGUAUUCUCCAUAGCAUGUGUGCAACUGGCAUGCAUGGGGUUCCAUAUUGGAAUCAGAAGCAGGGUUGGGGAGUAAUGGAUUACUGUAAUCCAUUACAUUACCAGCAAAAAUAUUGUAAUCAGAUUGCAGAUACUUUUGAAAAACUAGAGUAUUACUUCGAGCAUUACUUUUAAAUUCAGAAUGGAUGUUUGUGGACCAAAAUCUUUGACACUUCUCUGUUUUCUCAAUGACAUUAAAUUAACAUAGAAAAAAGCGCAAAUUUAAGUUUGUUCCACCUGAGCGUGUUUGACCACAAGUCAGAGACCGCUAUGAUGACACACCAAAUGUGUUUGAUGGAUCGCGGGAAAAGAGCAGAAAUAGGCUUUUGUAGGCUACAGUCCAAAUGAUGUCUUCCAAUGGUGCGACUGCAGUCGGCAUCCAAAGAUGAUCCAAUUUGAAUAAACGUUUGGAGGACCUGAGCCCUAGGACCAUGCCUCAGGACUACCUGGCAUGAUGACUCCUUGUUGUCCACAGUCCACCUGGCCGUGCUGCUGCUCCAGUUUCAACUGUUCUGCCUGCGGCUAUGGAACCCUGACCUGUGCACUGUGAUUACAAUUAUUUGACCAUGCUGGUCAUUUAUGAACAUUUGAACAUCUUGGCCAUGUUCUGCUAUAAUCUCCACCCGGCACAGCCAGAAGAGGACUGGCCACCCCUCAUAGCCUGGUUCCUCUUUAGGUUUCUUCCUAGGUUUUGGCCUUUCUAGGGAGUUUUCCCUAGCCACCGUGCUUCUACACCUGCAUUGCUUGCUGUUUGUGGUUUUAGGCUGGGUUUCUGUACAGCACUUUGAUAUAUCAGCUGAUGUAAAAAAAUUGAUUUGAUUUUGAUUUAUACCACCUACAUGAUCAAAACCUUGUGUAGUAUGUCUCCACACAAUGUAGGCCAGUGGCCUGGUAAGAAAGUCGAAAUCAGUCUCUCUCUCUAACACAAGCACACCCUCUUGAUUUGUCUUUCUCUCCCCUUUCACUAUCUAAGCUAAUUGAAUUAUACCAGGUCUCCUCAGGUUCGGGCAUCUGUGGGGGGGACCGGGUUUCCCAUGACCCACUUCUCUCACAUUCUAUUAGAGGCAGGAGGGUUGGCAUUGCCGCGAGGUCAGCCGGUGUAUUCCAGUUCCUCAGCAGUUUGGAAAGAGAGAGACAUUCCUUAGACUAUUUAGGCUAACAACAGACGAGAGAGAGAAUCUGGCAUGGGUUUUAGAAAGGUAACACUGCAACCAGACAGUGUGGGUCGGCAAUGGUCAAAGUAUCACUACAAUAGUAUACAAUAGUAUAAUAUUUGGUUUUCUGUUGUGAAAAUGUCUGAGAUUACUAAAAUGAACAUAGAGACAAUUUCCAACUUUGACCACAAGAUGGAGCCCAAUAUCUUCUAUAUUGAAUCUUCAAGCCAAGCUGCAAUGCAUGUCCUUUUCAUGUAUGAAACAUCUCAAUAAAACAUCAGACACCUUAUCUGAAACAGAGGAGGCAGAGUGUGUGAUUACACAUGGGAUAUGAUGACAUUAAAACAGACAGUGGGAGUGAAUGAGCUGACCGGAUAGAGGUGCUGAUUCAGCCACACCAUGUUAUGUUUGAUAUUCACAGUGAAACCCUCC